GACGAACGCUGGCGGCGUGCUUAACACAUGCAAGUCGAACGGAAAGGCCCUGCUUUUGUGGGGUGCUCGAGUGGCGAACGGGUGAGUAACACGUGAGUAACCUGCACUUGACUUUGGGAUAACUUCAGGAAACUGGGGCUCAUACCGGAUAGGAGCUCCUGCUGCAUGGUGGGGGUUGGAAAGUUUCGGCGGUUGGGGCUGGACUCGCGGCUUAUCAGCUUGUUGGGGGGGUAGUGGCUUACCAAGGCUUUGACGGGUAGCCGGCCUGGGAGGGUGACCGGCCACAUUGGGACUGAGAUACGGCCCAGACUCCUACGGGAGGCAGCAGUGGGGAAUAUUGCAGAAUGGGCGGAAGCCUGAUGCAGCAACGCCGCGUGCGGGAUGACGGCCUUCGGGUUGUAAACCGCUUUCGCCUGUGACGAAGCGUGAUUGACGGUAAUGGGUAAAGAAGCACCGGCUAACUACGUG
RNAcentral lists this ribosomal RNA (468 nucleotides) under uncultured bacterium. RNAcentral describes it as "partial 16S ribosomal RNA". It matches the Rfam family "Bacterial small subunit ribosomal RNA", at positions 28 to 507 of the family's 1533-position model. The record is from RNAcentral.